This 115-nucleotide ribosomal RNA is filed under the name Danio rerio (zebrafish). The record is from RNAcentral. Lineage: Eukaryota; Metazoa; Chordata; Actinopteri; Cypriniformes; Danionidae.
GCCGGCAGGUAGCUCUCUGCAACUCUCACAUGGUCGCCCACUGAAGCUAAGCAGGGCUGCGCCUGGUCAGUACCUGGAUGGGAGACCACAUGGGAAAGCUAGGUUGCUGCCGAAA